RNAcentral lists this ribosomal RNA (425 nucleotides) under uncultured bacterium. Its description in RNAcentral is "partial 16S ribosomal RNA". It matches the Rfam family "Bacterial small subunit ribosomal RNA", at positions 354 to 796 of the family's 1533-position model. The record is from RNAcentral.
GUGGGGAAUCUUGCGCAAUGGGCGAAAGCCUGACGCAGCCAUGCCGCGUGAAUGAUGAAGGUCUUAGGAUUGUAAAAUUCUUUCACCGGGGACGAUAAUGACGGUACCCGGAGAAGAAGCUCCGGCUAACUUCGUGCCAGCAGCCGCGGUAAUACGAAGGGGGCUAGCGUUGCUCGGAAUUACUGGGCGUAAAGGGCGCGUAGGCGGACAGCUUAGUCAGAGGUGAAAGCCCAGGGCUCAACCUUGGAAUUGCCUUUGAUACUGGCUGUCUUGAGUUUGCGAGAGGUGAGUGGAACUCCGAGUGUAGAGGUGAAAUUCGUAGAUAUUCGGAAGAACACCAGUGGCGAAGGUGACUCACUGGCCCAAUACUGACGCUGAGGCGCGAAAGCGUGGGGAGCAAACAGGAUUAGAUACCCGUGUAGUCC